RNAcentral lists this ribosomal RNA (113 nucleotides) under Sphingobacteriales bacterium. Lineage: Bacteria; Pseudomonadati; Bacteroidota; Sphingobacteriia; Sphingobacteriales. The record is from RNAcentral.
UAAGGUGGCUAUAGCAGGGAGGUCCCACCUCUUCCCAUUCCGAACAGAGAAGUUAAGCUCCCUAGCGCCGAUGGUACUAUUCGAAAGGAUGGAAGAGUAGGUCGCCGCCAACC